GUGGAAGUGUCACUGGUGGGGCCGCGUGGCCUAAUGGAUAAGGCGUCUGAUUCCGGAUCAGAAGAUUGAGGGUUCGAGUCCCUUCGUGGUCGCUGCAAUGUUUGCUUUUCUCCCUCGCUUUUAAAUUUUCCCUCUGUCGGGACGGCGCCCUCCGCGGAGUCUUAGGAGGCUCGGGCGGUGUCCCCGUCGCGCCGCCCCGCCCUGCCACACCCGGGAAGUCGCCCAGCUCCUGCAGGCGCGGAGCCCGGGAGCUAGGGCCUGCUCUACACCCCUGGCGACACCGAGGGAGCUGCGGGGCCCAACGCAGGCCAGAACCCGAAGCCACCGCAGCGAGUCCGAGAACCUCAGACGAGCUAGCCGGAGGAGAGCCAUUGCGGAGGGCGCUUGGGACAGAGACCUCAGGCCCCUGGGCUCCGUUGAAAGCCGCGGAGACCUGAACCCAGGUAACACCUCCUGUCUACGGGGCAGUGUAGGGAGGAGGACAAGGACAGGGAUGGCACUUUUCCCAGUCGCCGGGCUGGUACCCCUCCUCUCUCCUCUCCCAUAUUUUGCGUAGCCAAUUCCUUCUUGCUAGUAGUUAUCACCGGAUCCUUAUUCUGCUUCAAGGAGAAGGAAAGGGCUCGCCCAGGAUUUGAUCCCCAGGCUUCUCGCACCCUAAGCGAGGAUCACACACGAGUCAAACGAGCUGAGCGACACCUGUGGCCCCAGAUCUUUGGGCUCCAUCUGCGCGUGCGCGGUCCCUCCGGGGUCGGAGGACGCUCUAGGCCCCGGCCCCGUCGGAGCGCAGGCCGAAUGCGGGUGUUGAGGGACCGGAGGGAGUCUGGGAUGGAGCGGGGAAUCCGUGUGUAACCGGCGGGAACCACGGGGAGGUGACAGAGAGACUGGUUUAGGACCAUUGCGAGACGUCCGUUGUCGGCCCCGGUGGCCUAAUGGAUAAGGCAUUGGCCUCCUAAGCCAGGGAUUGUGGGUUCGAGUCCCACCCGGGGUACGUGGGGUUAAGUUUUAGACUUCCUCUGAGGAAGAAAUGCAAUCCCUCCUCCCCAGUGGAGGAAGCCAAGUUAAGGGUUCUUGGAGGCUAUCCAGAUGUCGUCCUAUGCUAUUAAAUUGGCUGCGACUUAAUUUUCUAAUAACGGGUGCACGUUUCCAGCUUUCAGAGAGGAAUACUUUCUCAUCAUUCCCAUUUUUAAAAUAACCACCCAUUCUACUUGAUGAUAUAAAGGAAUAAUUGUUCAUUUUUCCAGUAUAUUAAUUUUAUUGUGGUUCCAUAUAUUUUUAAAAGUUCUUAAAAGUUCUUUUAUAAACAGACCCAAUUAUUUAAAGAUUAAAUUAUAUGACAGCUGUCGUGCUUUAACACAACGGGCUGAGUGCUGACCAUGGUUAUUAAUACGGUAUUGUAUACUUGCAGGUUGCUUUGAGAGGAGAGCUGAAAUGUUCUCACCACACAGAAAAGGUAACUAUGCGAAGGCUGGAUGUGUUAACCUGACUGUAGCAAAUAUUUCACAAAUGUAUAUGUGUAUCAAAUCAACACAUUGUGCACCUUAAAUAUAUAUCAUUUUUAUUUGUCAAUUAUCUCUCAACAAAGCUAGGGAAAAUAUAAUGGGUUGGUUGGAGGUGUAGAUAAAACAAGGUUAUCUGUCAGUUGAUAAUGGCUUAAGCUGGGGGACAUGAGGACACAUUAAACUAUUUCUCUGCUUUCGUGCAUGUUUGAAGUAGUCCGUAAUAAAGUUUUCUUUCUUUUUUUAAUCCA
This 1747-nucleotide transfer RNA is filed under the name Ursus maritimus (polar bear). RNAcentral's name for it is "lncRNA (ENSUMAG00000000959.1)". The stretch from base 916 to 988 matches the Rfam family "tRNA". Lineage: Eukaryota; Metazoa; Chordata; Mammalia; Carnivora; Ursidae. The record is from RNAcentral.